GUCUACAGCCAUGCCACUCUGAACAAGCCCGAUCCCAUCUAUCUUGGAAGCUAAGCAGGGUUGGGCCUGGUUAGUACUUGGAUGGGAGACCACCCAGGAAAAUCAGGUGCCGUAGGCA
Molecule: ribosomal RNA, 118 nt
Filed under: Pteropus alecto (black flying fox)
Lineage: Eukaryota; Metazoa; Chordata; Mammalia; Chiroptera; Pteropodidae
Source: RNAcentral